GUUGGGCAUGGUGGCACAUGCCUGUAAUCCCAGCAGCUUGGGAGGUUGAGGCAGGAGGAUCAUGAGUUCAAAGCCAGCCUCAGCAACUUAGCAAAGCUCUCAGCAACUCAGACCCUGUCUCAA
This 123-nucleotide small RNA is filed under the name Marmota monax (woodchuck). The record is from RNAcentral. Lineage: Eukaryota; Metazoa; Chordata; Mammalia; Rodentia; Sciuridae.